GGGGGCACGGGGGGAGGAAAGUAGGGGAUCGCAAGACCUUGCGCUUUUGGAGCGGCCGAUGCCUGAUUAGCUUGUUGGUAAGGUAAAAGCUUACCAAGGCUUCGAUCAGUAGCUGGUCUGAGAGGACGACCAGCCACACUGGGACUGAGACACGGCCCAGACUCCUACGGGAGGCAGCAGUGGGGAAUUUUGGACAAUGGGGGCAACCCUGAUCCAGCCAUGCCGCGUGAGUGAAGAAGGCCUUCGGGUUGUAAAGCUCUUUCAGCCGGAACGAAACGGUUACGGUUAAUACCCGUGACUAAUGACGGUACCGGAAGAAGAAGCACCGGCUAACUACGUGCCAGCAGCCGCGGUAAUACGUAGGGUGCGAGCGUUAAUCGGAAUUACUGGGCGUAAAGCGUGCGCAGGUGGUUUUGUAAGUCAGA
This 425-nucleotide ribosomal RNA is filed under the name uncultured ammonia-oxidizing bacterium. RNAcentral describes it as "bacterial SSU rRNA". It matches the Rfam family "Bacterial small subunit ribosomal RNA", at positions 186 to 592 of the family's 1533-position model. The record is from RNAcentral.